GGUCUCUCUCCACAGGGCCAGGGCUCCCCUCCAGGACCUCGAAGCACCCUACUGUUGGGGUGCUUGUCUCUGUUUCAGUUGUCCCUCUUAAGGCUUAAGAAAGAGACGCGGCACCUGCAGCAGGAAAGGAGCCCAGCCGGAGAGUUCACCGCACCAGUCAGCGAGCACAGAGUGCUGGACGGAUGACCAGUGGGGCCUUGGGGCAGUGUGGGGCGCAGGAAAAGAGUACCUGGUCCCGCAGUGACUGCAGUGAGGAGGACCCUGCAUUUUUACCCACCCUCCUCACCUGGCACCACUGCUGUACAGGCUGUCAGCUCUGCUCCGGUUCUCAAGUUCACUCGGCAAAAAGCUGAUCUGCCUCCGUGUUUAGAAGCUCCUCACUGGCCAGGAGGGUGGCUCACCUCUACACGUCUGGGCUGGAGAGAACAAAGGAUGUGCUGUUGGGAAAAGAGAUGGGCCUCGGCCCAACUGGGAGGCCUGGGCCCAGCUGCCAUGGCGCACCAAGCGAGGGUCUGUAGGAAAGGGAAGUUCCCGGCCAGGAAAUGGGGACCCUGAGCUUCUCCCCGGCAGGAGGUGCCCAGUGUCACCUGCCUGAAGCAGACACGGGUGCAGAGGGUCAGGCCUGGAACCCCAGCCUCCAACCAGCCUUCCUAACCACUCUUACCUAUUUUCUUAAAUAAGCUUUUUCUUUUAGGAUAGAUUUAAAUUCAUAGAAAAGUCGUGGAGAUAAUACAGAGAAUUCCCACAGGCCUCCCGCCACCCGGCUUCCCUGUGAGUGUCUUACAGGAGGACGGCACCUUUGUCACAAUGGAUGUCGGUGCACUAUCAUCAAACAAUAAAGCCUGUCCUUCAUCCGGGUCUCCUA
This 865-nucleotide long non-coding RNA is filed under the name Homo sapiens (human). RNAcentral's name for it is "HSALNT0309573". Lineage: Eukaryota; Metazoa; Chordata; Mammalia; Primates; Hominidae. The record is from RNAcentral.